Long non-coding RNA from Dicentrarchus labrax (European seabass), 1557 nucleotides. RefSeq lists it as uncharacterized. The record is from RefSeq and is a predicted model, not a curated record. NCBI's taxonomy places the organism in Eukaryota, Metazoa, Chordata, Actinopteri, Moronidae. The transcript is spliced from 2 exons.
AAUGUCAAAGUCAUCUUCGGUCAGCCCGCCACCGAGAGUUUCAGCCAAUUCCCUUUUCCAAGCAGGAAAUAUUUCCUAGGAAGGGAGGAGAAGUGGUAGGACAAGAGGUUUGAGAUUUAUUGCAUCUUAACAACACACUGUAGGACUACAUCUGCAUUAAGCAUUUACAUUUAAAUCUUUGUUUUUGGUUUUAGCUCUUUGUCCACACUAAAACAGAAUUCAUGGUUCUUUUCUAAAACUUUCUACAGAGUAUUUAAAUCUUGUAGUGUGUGUGAGGAAAAUCUGUGCAGUUUUUGUCAGUCAGGGAGUUUGUGUGCGUGUGUGUGUGUGUGUGUGUGUGUGUGUUUGACUAGAUCUCAUGAUCAUAAAAUUGUGAUUGUAUGUGCACUGCAGCUUGGAAAUAACAUGCACAUUACCUGUUAAAUGGACUACAUUUACACUGAACAAAAUUAAAAACGCAACACUUUUGUUUUUGCCCCAUUCAUCAUGAGCUGAACUCAAAGAUCUAAGACUUUCUCUAUGUACACAAAAGUAUUUCUCCCAAAUAUUGUUCACAAAUCUGUCAAUCUGUGUUAGUGAGCACUUCUCCUUUGCCGAGAUAAUCCAUCCACCUCACAGGUGUGGCAUAUCAAGAUGUUGAUCAGACAGCAUGGGUAUUGCACAGGUGUGCCUUAGGCUGGCCACAAUAAAAGGCCACUCGAAAAUGCAAAAACAAAAGUGUUGUUUAUAAUUGUAUGCAGUGUACAUAGAGCUUUUUGAUCGUAACGCAGCUAACAAGAGCUUUCAGAUUCAAUGUCUUUCUCAAGGUCACUUUGACGUAUUGACAGGAGGAGCUGAAGAUCAAAUCAUCCACCCUGCUCUACCUACUGAGCCACAAUAUUUAUGUCAUACUCGUUCCAGUACAGGAAAAUAUUAAAUGACAACAAUAUUGGCUGCAUUAAAACAGCAUCACAAGGAGUAUUUGUCAGCUGGGCUGUCUGUCCAACACAUCACCAGGUGUUGGCUGUGAUGCGCAAUUUUGUUGUUUGCCACCUAAAAAGGAGAUGAAGAAGAAGAGAUUUUUCCUUUUUUACUGUCUACCUGUGGGCAGAAGUUUCUAUGAAAUAUAUGACCUGUAUGGGAGUGUGAAUGUGAGUCAUUUUCACACAAAAAACUGCCAGCUCAGUGUAGAUGCAGUAAUGGAGUAAGUUUCUUUCUGUGAUUUUGCUCACACUGCUAUCACAUCCUCUAAAUUCAAAUGGUAAGUAAAUGUUAGGGAUGUGUUGUAGUCCAAGGGAAAUCCAAGCACAAUAUCCAUAUAAGCAAUGAGAAAAAGAUAGAGAAAACAGAAACAAGGAAUGUGCACACAAAAGGAGUAUAACAUCCAACUUCAUUAUAACAGAGAAAUAGAUGAUGUGACAGACAGUGUAAUGCAAUAAAGGCACACAACAACAUUAGUAGAAACCUCAGUGGGAUCCUCAAACAGCGUUUCACCCAGAAACGUGUAGAGGUAUCGAUUGAUGAUCCUGCGUAGAAUGUCUCUUGCAUCCUUCAGCUCCUCGGAUGUUGAGUUGAGUA